GACGAACGCUGGCGGCGUGCUUAACACAUGCAAGUCGAACGGCAAGGCCCUGCUUUUGUGGGGUGCUCGAGUGGCGAACGGGUGAGUAACACGUGAGUAACCUGCCCUUGACUUUGGGAUAACUUCAGGAAACUGGGGCUAAUACCGGAUAGCAGCUCCUGCUGCAUGGUGGGGGUUGGAAAUUUUCGGCGGUUGGGGAUGGACUCGCGGCUUAUCAGCUUGUUGGUGGGGGAGUGGCUUACCAAGGCUUUGACGGGUAGCCGGCCUGAGAGGGUGACCGGCGACAUUGGGACUGAGAUACGGCCCAGAGUCCUACGGUAGGCAGCAGUGGGGAAUAUUGCACAAUGGGCGGGAGCCGGAUGCAGCAACGCCGCGUGCGGAAUGCCGGCCUUCGGGGUGUAAACCGCUUUCGCCUGUGACGAAGCGUGAGUGACGGUAAUGGGUAAAGAAGCACCGGCUAACUACGUG
Molecule: ribosomal RNA, 468 nt
Filed under: uncultured bacterium
Lineage: Bacteria
Description: partial 16S ribosomal RNA
Rfam family: Bacterial small subunit ribosomal RNA
Source: RNAcentral